This is a long non-coding RNA of Centrocercus urophasianus (Greater sage-grouse), 4145 nucleotides long. RefSeq lists it as uncharacterized. The record is from RefSeq and is a predicted model, not a curated record. Lineage: Eukaryota; Metazoa; Chordata; Aves; Galliformes; Phasianidae. The transcript has 3 exons.
AUGAGAAGAAUUUUCCUCCUAAUAUCUAACCUGAACCUCCCCUAGUGCAACUUAAAGCCAUUCCUUCUCACCCUAUUGAUCUUAUUACCUCUCACAAGGUGCAUGGACAACUGUCUGAUAGUAUGAACACUGUCAGGAGCAAAGCAACACAGUGCAUGUCUUUGCUGAAUUGGAAGAAAGCAAAAAAAAAAAAAAGUACUUAUUAAUCAGGAAGCUGCCAGAAGGCAGUAUUUGAUUAUUGUGUCCAACCUUCUAUGUAUCACAGAAUUUCAGAUUUGCCAUGGAUCUCUUAUGAAUUUGGUUUGACUAAAGCAGAACUUCCUAGAGUUACCCAAUUUUGAUUUAUUUAAUUUCCUUUUGUGUUUAAACUUUUCAAGUAUCUUCAGCUAAGCUUACAGUGCCUGAGGGCAACUCCAGAGGAUAUGUAAAGACCUCCACUUGGUUACUAUUGGCUGUAAUGUUAUAAUUGUCUACCCUGGUGAUAUAGGACUAAAACAGAAGCUUGCCUACUAAUUGGUUAACUCUACCUUCUGCAAGGCACAUUUUAUUUAUUUUCAUUGAGUAUUGAAUUCAACCUAGUUGUUUAACACCUUUUAUUUAAGAGGCUUUGCAGUGAAAUAAAAGAAAUACUACAGAAAAAGCAGGAGAGGAGGAAAAUAACUCUUUACAGUAAUUGCUCACUAUCACUUCAAUUUUAUUAGCGGUGAAAACAACUUUUAAGCAUGUCAGAUACUCCUACUCCUACCUCUUCUGUUAAGGUAAGUAAACUGUAUUUUAAAAAUAUCUUCCUUCUUAAAUUGUGACAAAAUUGUUUCAGCACUAUAAAGUAUGGUCUUAUAUGGUGUCAUAUAAAAGGCAGCAUCACAGACUGCUCUAGUUCUGCAUCAACAGUGCAUCAUCUCCUUCCAGAUAAAGUCUUACAUGUGAGCUUAUCUUUGGAUAUGAAGUUGAAUGGAAUUUAAGUUCAUGGAGAAUCUUUAAUGCUUUGCUGAGUGAGAAUGCAUUUUAGUAGAUCCUUAAGUACUUUUCUCAAGAGGUUUUACCAUGCAUAGGACUUCUUAAAAGGCCCUUCUGAGUUAAAAAUACCUGAAGUUCUCUCUAAUGAGGAUGUAUAGCAUUCUACUCAAGGUAAUCAAGACUUAUGACAUCACAUAUUUUAAAAUUCUUAUUGGGAAAGACAGAAAAGUCUUACAGUUGAUCAAAUAAGGGAACUUUCGGAUGAAAGAUAGAAACAGAGGAGGAUUGCAGUACAGUAAAAGUGCAUAAGCAUCUCUUAGUGAACUUCUGCAUUUAUAAUUUUCUUUAUCUGUAACGUAUUUAACUAUAAGCUCUUUAAGGCAGGAAUUCAUCAUUCUGAGUAUAUAUGAGAAGCCUAAUGUGGUUCAGGGUGUGUUUUAAUAUUUAACAGCAGAUCAUUUUCUGCACAUGUUAUAGAGUUUAUUGUCAUGAUAUGUGUUGUUAUUUAUUACAUAUCUCAACGAUACAGUAGACGCAGACCAACAGGCAAUUUGGGCAAUUAAUCAUAGUAUUUUCCAAAGAUCUAAAACAUUCUGUGUUUUUGGAAGGUAUUUCUGAGGCUUUCCAGGUAGUGCACCAUUAACACAUGACGGGGCAUGUUUCAGAGGUUCAUUAACACAUGUUGUAGAUGUGCAGCCUCAUGCAUUCAGCCACCUGAGGCAUGCAUUAAUGGACCAUUAAAACAUGCCCAGGAGUGUCUUAAUGCUAUUACAGUACGGCUCUGCAAUUUUUAAUUCAGCUUUUUUAUAAAACGAUUCUUUUCCAAAAUACAAUUUUUACUAUAUUGCAAAGCCCCUACUCAGAAAAGAAAGGGUUAUUGUGACCUAAGAUUAAGAAAGCACCUGGAUAUGGAUAUAAAUACCCUUUUUUUCUACCAUUUUAAUACAUUUGAUUUUGAUUUUAUAUUGUUUUAUAAAUAGCAUAGUCCUAAGGCCUGAUUCACGUUUUUGCUGACCUAUCUUCCCACUGCUCAGGAAAUGUAAAAGAGUCUUAAAGUGCCAUAAAUGUAAAUUGCACCCCCAGACUACUUAGCUUAGUUGCUAAUUUCAAUAGACAUUUCUAGGUUUCUAGGUGAGUAACUCUUGAGCAGCUUUGGAUUUCUGUGGAGAAAAAAACAAAACUGGAAACCCAAGCAGUUUGACAAAUAAGUUUUGCUGUAGAAGGCUAAAACUAGGAAAGGGAAAAGGAGUUAUACCACAGGUGGACAAGCUGCUCACAUCUUCAGUAACGUGCUGUUACGGAUCGCAGUUUCACAUUCAGUUACACAUCUCAACCUUGGCUGAAUUCAUUCUAAAAUAAUCAACUAUCCAUUAUUAUUCUUAUUUUAUGAUUUCUGUACGCCAGUAAUACAAAUAAUGUUAUCUUUAUUAUAAUCCAGUGAACUACUGUCCUUGUUUUCAUAAUAAUUCCCUCAUGAGCACAAAGUGCAGGCUGUGGAGCAAACCACUUCCCCCCAUGUCAGCCUCCACUUCAUUUAAAAGUUGGGAGCAGCAUAAAGAGCUUGGAAGUGCUUGAACCAGCUGAAGAAAAUUUCUUUAAUGAUAGUGCCCUGAAAGAAGGCCAUAGGCCACACUUCAAAAAAUUCACCAUCUGACCCAAAACAAAAUAUUAUUUCAGGUCAAUUUUAACAUUGCUUUUAGAUUUUGCUUUUAUGUAUGUGUUUAUUACUGCUGGCCAUCUCAUUUAAUGUGUGACAGCCAGCAGUCAUGUUGAAAUGAUGCAUUGCAACACAUUGCUCAAAAAAGAUUGUAAUUAUGUAUCAGAGCAUUUUUUUUUCCAUGUUUCUUUCAAAAAAAGCUAUUUAAGAAAAUUCUUUUCCUCUUUCUAAAUUAGCUUUUUGACAGAAAAAGUUGCUGUGAAACUCCACAUUUGGACUGGUGUAGCUUAGAGCUGUGUAUUCAUCAUCAUUAUCAUAAUAAUAGCAUUACACCAUUAUUUUACAUACUCUUCCUCCUCUAACAUAUAUAAGUACAGUGCACUGUAAUUUGUAAAUACUGUGCUUUCAAUCAGCAGUGCUUGAGCAGGAGCUUCAGAAUAAGGUUGGGUCUAACCAGAGCAUCAUCACAGGCUAUAAUAUGCUCAUCGACCAUGGAUCCUCCAUGUUCACCAGGGCACAGGCAGAAUGUGGAAUGAUAUGUGGCUGAAUCAUUGGUGGGAAAUUGCAAGGAUCUGGGAAGCUCUUCUGAGAGCUGUGUUGUUUGUCAGUCUUGGAGCUGGAAGAUCUGAGCAAGAGCCUUAGUUCUAUGAUCCUUAACUUUAUCGCAAGUGGUGAGAUCUGAGGGCUUCUCUUCUGUGUUGUCCUUCCCCAUGCCAAUUUCAAGUGUGAGGAGUUCUUAAACAAGCUUUUUUGAAAGAAAGAAGAAGGGUGGUACUUGUUUUCAUUCAUAAGCAGAGCAAGGAGAUGUAACUGGAUGUAGUGCAAAACUUCUGUCAGCAAAUAAAAGGAAAAGGCUGUUGGAGUCAGUGCAUAUGUGCUGCUCAGUGAAUAUGGCAGCAUUGGUGGCUGUCACCUUCAGGUUGAGUUUGUAGUAAUUACGUUUUCCAGUCAUAUGGAAAUCCCUCAAAAUUACACAUGUGCAGUAUUUCUCAUGUUGUAUAUUUUCACAGGGAAUUCUAUAUACAGAUGAUCUGCAAAGAACUUGUAUUAAUUUAAAACUAUUUGAAGACAAUGUUUGCUCGGAGCAGGAAUUAGAAUCAGUACUAGUUAAGCACAUACAACUAGGAACUGUGGGAUAUAGAGUUUAAGCCUGUAGCUGCCGGAAUUAAAUCUAAUUCAUCGUUAAACACUUCAUCUUCCUCUACAGCGUAGGUGAAAGGUCAUACACUCCAAAAAUAUGAUCCAGAAAGGGAUAAUGUGGAGAGGGAAAUCCAGAUCUAAUAGGCUUUGUAAUUCCCUCUUCUGGGGAGAGCUAUGUCACUGAUACAAUUUGGACUCUCUUCUGGCAAGUAGUGAUAGUAGCUGAUGUUAAACUUUCAGCAAUCACUGGCUUUGCUGAUGUGUCAGGCCAAAAAAAAAAAAAAAAACCUACGUUGUUUUGAGAAAUUUGUUUUGGCGAUGCAGACCAACAAACAAAAUGAUGAUAUUUUCUUCUAGAAAGAAAGUGAAUUGGUGUUUAAACAUAAAUUCU